Molecule: long non-coding RNA, 763 nt
Filed under: Mytilus galloprovincialis (Mediterranean mussel)
Lineage: Eukaryota; Metazoa; Mollusca; Bivalvia; Mytilida; Mytilidae
Source: RNAcentral
UAUACUGUGUUUUGAGCAUUUAUUAUGUUUUUUGAAAACACUUUCGUUAGAAUAACACUGGAAGUGGCCAUGAGUAUAGGUUUUCUUCUCUUUUUGUAAAUGUUUCCUUUUUUUUUUUUUUAAAUCAGUUUAAUAUACUGUCAUUUGGACCCUGUUAGGUUAUGUCAUAUUGUCAAUCAUAUCACAUCUUCCUAUUUCUUGAUAUUGAAACCUGUGUUAAUUGAGCACACUGAGGACUAAAUAUUUUUUGCAUUAAACAGGUGUUUAAUUUCCACAGUCAUAAUAUUAAAAAUUUUAUGAAUACAAGAUUUAAAUAUCGAUAUUAAUUUUAUAUUUAAUGUUGAAGCACCUAUGUAGAGAAAGAAGAUAUAAUUCACCAUGUUUACCCUUUGAAUUGGUAAGAUAGUGGACAUAUGACACCUUUUGACGCCACCCCUUUACUCCAUAAUGCACCUUUUGACGCCUAUGUAGUGCCUCAGUUGAAACUUCUUGCCUAAGAAAAUUCUGUAUCAGACUUCAUAAAAUUUGUAACUUAUAUAAAAAGGAUAAUCAUAAGAAUAUGUGACUGGAAUUUCAUUGAUGAAAUAUUAGUUUUUUCAAUGCAUUAAUACUUUAAACCUGAUGAUUUUUUUAGUGAAAAAAUCCUUUGCGAAUCAAAUAUGGAAGAAAAAAAAACUCAUGCAGGAAAGCAAUUUUUUUUUUAUCAUUUGUGACAUUUUGUUUAUAGUGAUGUCAUAAUAAAGAUUUUUUGCACUGAACUGAA